Chiroxiphia lanceolata (lance-tailed manakin) is the source of this 1065-nucleotide long non-coding RNA. RefSeq lists it as uncharacterized. The record is from RefSeq and is a predicted model, not a curated record. The transcript has 6 exons. NCBI's taxonomy places the organism in Eukaryota, Metazoa, Chordata, Aves, Passeriformes, Pipridae.
AGGGCGGGCGAUACCACCGGCCGCCAUUCCCCGCUCCUUGGAAGUGCUGAGGGCGGCCCGGCGGUUCCCAUGGUGACCCGGCUGCCGUCAGGCGCGGCGGCCGCGCUUUGCGGCGAUGCGUCCCGGCUCCGGGACAAGGAGCAGGGAGCUGGUGGUGGAAUUGCCUCUCUGUCCGUGUGCUGAGCUCCGGCUGCAGGGACUGUCAGGCAUUGUUGGCUGUGGUGGAAUUGCCUCUCUGUCCGUGUGCUGAGCUCUGGCUGCAGGGACUGUCAGGCGUUGUUGGUUGUGAGUUCGUGGGGUUCUCCCUGGGUAGUUUAUAGGGUGGUGGAAUUGCCUCUCUGUCCAUGUGCUGAGCUCCAGCUGCAGGGACUGUCAGACAUUGUUGGCUCUGUUGCCUGGUGUCAUUUCCCUGCCUGAGCUGGCUGUGGGUUGGUGUGGGACGCGAGGCCGGAGAGAGCGAGCGGAGGAGCCUCGGGCUGGAGAGGGGCAGGAGAAAGGCCCUGUGGGCAAAGGGACGUCCCUGUGUGCCCAGGGCCCUGCAGGGGACAGGAUGGACACUCUGGGGUCACUCUGAGGGGCAUCUCCGAGGGCUCUUGCUUUAGGGCCACUGAGGGAAGAUUGCCCCGGCUUCAACAGUGCUGCUGGCUGCCGGCCUCCGGCUGGAAGGGCAGGGAUUUGGGGUGGGCGGGACACACGUGGGGGGCACGUGGCAGCUCUAGGAGGUGGGCCCUGGGAAUGGCUGCCCGUGCUGGUCCACAAACACAAGGUGCCUGCAUUCCCAAGUGCCAGCAGCGUCAGCAUAAAAGAGGAGAUUCAUUUUCCGGGAAUUACAUCGCUGGCCCUCAGAAGGGGUUUGGGGUGUUUUGGGCAGCAUCAGCGCGGGGCUCAGUUCUGAACUGGGGCAAACCCUGUCCACGCUGCGGGUGCCGUCCUGGGCCCAGGCCAGAGGGGCUGCGGUUGCCAGCUGCUCCCCGUGUCCGUGCCGAGCCAGCGUCCCAGGGGCACAACAGGCGGCGCCGACACUUCCGAGGGAAGAGUUUUCUCUCUGUGGGAAGCCGGGAUUUC